This 253-nucleotide ribosomal RNA is filed under the name uncultured bacterium. RNAcentral describes it as "partial 16S ribosomal RNA". It matches the Rfam family "Bacterial small subunit ribosomal RNA", at positions 524 to 776 of the family's 1533-position model. The record is from RNAcentral.
UACGUAGGUGGCAAGCGUUGUCCGGAUUUAUUGGGUUUAAAGUGUGCGCAGGCGGCUCCGCAAGUCGAGUGUGAAAUCCCCGAGCUUAACUUGGGAAUUGCAUUUGUGACUGCACGGCUAGAAUCUGGCAGAGGGGGGUAGAAUUCCACGUGUAGCAGUGAAAUGCGUAGAGAUGUGGAGGAACACCAGUGGCGAAGGCGACUUUCUGGGCUGUAACUGACGCUGAGGCGCGAAAGCGUGGGGAGCAAACAGG